AUAUAAAAUGGAGUUUUCGGACAAAGUUUUUAUAUGACUUAGUGGCGGACGGGUGAGUAACGCGUGAGUAACCUGCCUUACACAGGGGGAUAACAGUCAGAAAUGACUGCUAAUACCGCAUAAGCGCACAGGGCCGCAUGGUCUGGUGUGAAAAGUAAUUCGGUGUAAGAUGGACUCGCGUCUGAUUAGCUAGUUGGUGAGGUAACUGCUCACCAAGGCGACGAUCAGUAGCCGACUUGAGAGAGUGAUCGGCCACAUUGGGACUGAGACACGGCCCAAACUCCUACGGGAGGCAGCAGUGGGGAAUAUUGCACAAUGGGGGAAACCCUGAUGCAGCGACGCCGCGUGAGCGAUGAAGUAUUUCGGUAUGUAAAGCUCUAUCAGCAAGGAAGAUAAUGACGGUACUUGACUAAGAAGCCCCGGCUAACUACGUGCCAGCAGCCGCGGUAAUACGUAGGGGGCAAGCGUUAUCCGGAUUUACUGGGUGUAAAGGGAGCGUAGACGGUCAGGCAAGUCUGAUGUGAAAGCCCGGGGCUCAACCCCGGAAUUGCAUUGGAAACUGCUCGACUAGAGUGCAGGAGAGGUAAGUGGAAUUCCUAGUGUAGCGGUGAAAUGCGUAGAUAUUAGGAGGAACACCAGUGGCGAAGGCGGCUUACUGGACUGUAACUGACGUUGAGGCUCGAAAGCGUGGGGAGCAAACAGGAUUAGAUACCCUGGUAGUCCACGCUGUAAACGAUGAAUACUAGGUGUUGGGGAGCGAUAGCUCUUCGGUGCCGCAGCUAACGCAAUAAG
This 792-nucleotide ribosomal RNA is filed under the name uncultured bacterium. Its description in RNAcentral is "bacterial SSU rRNA". It matches the Rfam family "Bacterial small subunit ribosomal RNA", at positions 64 to 864 of the family's 1533-position model. The record is from RNAcentral.